This 337-nucleotide ribosomal RNA is filed under the name uncultured Pelotomaculum sp. RNAcentral's name for it is "bacterial SSU rRNA". It matches the Rfam family "Bacterial small subunit ribosomal RNA", at positions 1047 to 1382 of the family's 1533-position model. Lineage: Bacteria; Bacillati; Bacillota; Clostridia; Eubacteriales; Desulfotomaculaceae. The record is from RNAcentral.
GGUUGUCGUCAGCUCGUGUCGUGAGAUGUUGGGUUAAGUCCCGCAACGAGCGCAACCCCCUACGUUUAGUUGCUAACGCGUGAAGGCGAGCGACUCUAGACGAACUGCCGUUGACAAAACGGAGGAAGGUGGGAUGACGUCAAAUCAUCAUGCCCCUUAUGUUCUGGGCUACACACGUGCUACAAUGGCCGGUACAGACGGACGCAAAGCCGCGAGGUGGAGCAAAUCCUAAAAAGCCGGUCUCAGUUCGGAUUGCAGGCUGCAAUUCGCCUGCAUGAAGUCGGAAUCGCUAGUAAUCGCAGGUCAGCAUACUGCGGUGAAUACGUUCCCGGGCCUU